AUUUCAUCAGUACGUAAAACUAUCAAUACUUAAAACUUAACCCUCCAGAUUAGAGUUCGCCCUAAAGAAAUCCUCUCUGGCCCGAUUCCCAAGGGGCACCGCUCAGAUGAAUCUCCUCCGCUCCAACGCCGUUCUUUCCCCUUUCCUCUGAAGCAGCUCCUCUUCCUCUCCCUGGUCCUGAUGGUGACUCCUUUUUUGUCACGGUUCAGACCUCCUCCAGAUCCGCCUCCUCCAGAUCUGCCGCCGUGGUCGCUGUGUAAGUCUCGUCCGUUUACAGCUCGCUUCCUCAUCGUCCCUCCAGAACCUCCAGACGCCCCCCUUCUCCUCGCUCCUCUCCUUCAAACCCUCGAAUCCUCCAUCAAUCCUGUCGUCUUCCUCCCUCGUUGCAGCUCUCCGGUUCCUGUUGCUGCAGCUUCUCCUCUGAGAUUUCAGCACAGUUCCUCUUUUCAGCUCGAGCCAUAGUUUAUCUUUGCAGAAACCUCCUCUCUCCUAGUCAAGCUUUCAAAAGGGACUGAUGCUUCUAAAAAUGAAGGUCUUGGAUAGUGUAUCCAUGGUAUGGAUGAAGCUCAUGACUCUCAAAGCUUUGCUAGGAUACUAUAUGGGGUCUCAACCCUUGCAGCCGAAGCUUUGACGUUGCAGGUGGCCCUUCCUUCAGCAUCAUCUGCUGGAUUUUCAAAGCUUCAAGAAAUUUGGGACUCUAUUGUCCUCUUCUCUGCCCUGCAUUCAGGAAUGGAUUUGAACGAGAUCGCAGGUUGUCUCCUUACAAACCUUGCCACUCUCUUUAGUCCUCUAUCAUUUAACUUUUAUCAGUGCACGGCAUUAUGUCUGGCUGUUGCAAUUGCUAUGUGUGUUUUCUUCAGACUAUGUUCUUCUAUUACUCUAUUUUGAGAUAUGAAUGAAUGAAAGAAAUGUUUGACAAAAAAAAAAAAACUUAACCCUC
Long non-coding RNA from Brassica oleracea var. oleracea, 940 nucleotides. RefSeq lists it as uncharacterized. The transcript is spliced from 2 exons. Lineage: Eukaryota; Viridiplantae; Streptophyta; Magnoliopsida; Brassicales; Brassicaceae. The record is from RefSeq and is a predicted model, not a curated record.